AUGCGAUGGCAAAUUACCCAGAGCGUAAGAUAGUACCAGUUACUGUAGAUAUUACUGGCAGUAGCAGUAGCAGUCAGUAUCCUGCAUAUCAGCCACUACAAGUAAAUCAAGAUAAAGAGUCAAAAUACUUGAAUCUGGUGGUGCAACUGCAGAGCCAACUAAUAGAGCAGCAAAGGCAACUCAAUUUGUUGGCGGAAUAACAAAAAGAACUUCAACCUCAGCCGCAGCAGCAGCUGCAACCUGCUCAACUCUCAACAGUUGCAGAAAAUCAAGGUGGUAACGUAAAUCAAGGAGGUCAAGGAAAAGGAAAAAAGUCUAAAAAGAAAAAGAAAAAUUCAGAAAGGGUUGCUGAUAACUCCAUGCCAUUUUACGAAUACAAUAAGUUCUAUGAAUAUAUGAGAACGAGGAAUAGUCACCAACAACACGGAGGAAGAAGUGGAAGAGGUAGAGGAAGAGGCG
This is a long non-coding RNA of Aethina tumida (small hive beetle), 459 nucleotides long. RefSeq lists it as uncharacterized. The transcript is spliced from 4 exons. The record is from RefSeq and is a predicted model, not a curated record. Lineage: Eukaryota; Metazoa; Arthropoda; Insecta; Coleoptera; Nitidulidae.